GACGAACGCUGGCGGCGUGCUUAACACAUGCAAGUCGAGCGGUAAGGCUCCUUCGGGAGUACACGAGCGGCGAACGGGUGAGUAACACGUGAGUAAUCUGCCCUUCACUUCGGGAUAAGCGCCGGAAACGGCGUCUAAUACCGAAUACGACGCGCUCUCGCAUGAGAUGUGCGUGGAAAGUCUUAUCGGUGAAGGAUGUGCUCGCGGCCUAUCAGCUUGUUGGUGAGGUAAUGGCUCACCAAGGCUUCGACGGGUAGCCGGCCUGAGAGGGUGACCGGCCACACUGGGACUGAGACACGGCCCAGACUCCUACGGGUGGCAG
This 322-nucleotide ribosomal RNA is filed under the name uncultured Actinomycetes bacterium. RNAcentral describes it as "bacterial SSU rRNA". It matches the Rfam family "Bacterial small subunit ribosomal RNA", at positions 28 to 351 of the family's 1533-position model. The record is from RNAcentral. Lineage: Bacteria; Bacillati; Actinomycetota; Actinomycetes.